RNAcentral lists this transfer RNA (705 nucleotides) under uncultured cyanobacterium. RNAcentral describes it as "partial contains 16S ribosomal RNA, 16S-23S ribosomal RNA intergenic spacer, and 23S ribosomal RNA". The stretch from base 246 to 318 matches the Rfam family "tRNA". The record is from RNAcentral. Lineage: Bacteria; Bacillati; Cyanobacteriota.
CAGGGAGACAAAACUGAUCGUGAUGUCUGAAUAUUUAUUUUUAGGCCAUGAUCCUGUCACCUUAGGUCGAUCGGUAUCUCAGCUCGAUUCCAAUUGAUAUUUGGUAAUUGAUUUCAGUUCCUAAACUUGUCUAGGUCACACCCAUCAAUCAAGGGUACUCCUGGGCCAUCAGCUCAGGUGGUUAGAGCGCACCCCUGAUAAGGGUGAGGUCCCUGGUUCAAGUCCAGGAUGGCCCAUUCGAUGUUGGGGGUAUAGCUCAGUUGGUAGAGCGCCUGCUUUGCAAGCAGGAUGUCAGCGGUUCGAGUCCGCUUACCUCCACUGAAUACGCCUGCUGAUAGCGAAAUUAAGGAGAAUCUUGUUUGAUUGUGAUUUAGACUUUGUUCCUUAUUGAAUGAACCUAGCUUCUUAUCAUUCCUCGUCUUUAUUUGAGAUUUGGUUGAUAUGAUGCUGGGCUCACUGCAAUUAAUUUAGUUGCAGAGAUGUUCAGUAGAACCUUGACAACUGCAUAGUGAGUCUGGAAAAAGAACAAAGCAUCUCAUGGAUGCAUUUUUCUUUCAGUUAUUUUCAGCUUUUUUAAAUAAAAAAGUCUGAAACACUAAAAGUUUAAUGUUUAAUUCUUGAGCAAGAGCCGAGACUCUGAAGCAUUAUUUUAUGAAUAACUCAUGAAAUUUAUCGUUGAAAAAUACGUAAGCUUUAGAGGAAUAU